This 407-nucleotide ribosomal RNA is filed under the name uncultured prokaryote. Its description in RNAcentral is "bacterial SSU rRNA". It matches the Rfam family "Bacterial small subunit ribosomal RNA", at positions 355 to 776 of the family's 1533-position model. The record is from RNAcentral. RNAcentral also lists the same sequence under 1 other name.
UGGGGAAUAUUGCGCAAUGGGGGAAACCCUGACGCAGCAACGCCGCGUGAAGGAUGAAGGUUUUCGGAUCGUAAACUUCUUUGAUUGGGGACGAAACAAAUGACGGUACCCAAGGAACAAGCCACGGCUAACUACGUGCCAGCAGCCGCGGUAAUACGUAGGUGGCGAGCGUUGUCCGGAAUUACUGGGUGUAAAGGGCGUGUAGGCGGGGAUGUAAGUCAGAUGUGAAAGCCCGUGGCUUAACUGCGGGACUGCAUCUGAAACUAUGUCUCUUGAGUGCUGGAGAGGAAAGCGGAAUUCCUAGUGUAGCGGUGAAAUGCGUAGAUAUUAGGAGGAACACCAGUGGCGAAGGCGGCUUUCUGGACAGUAACUGACGCUGAGGCGCGAAAGCGUGGGGAGCAAACAGG